CUGCGACAGGACGGAAAGACCCCAUGGAGCUUUACUGUAGCUUGACAUUGGGUCUUGGUACUACAUGUACAGGAUAGGUGGGAGGCUUUGAAACCAGGACGCCAGUUUUGGCGGAGCCAUCCUUGGGCUACCACCCUUGUAGUACUGGGACUCUAACCAUAGGCCAUGAAUCUGGUCUUGGGACACUGUCAGGUGGGCAGUUUGACUGGGGCGGUCGCCUCCCAAAAGGUAACGGAGGCGCUCAAAGGUUCUCUCAGUACGGUCGGAAAUCGUACGUAGAGUGUAAAGGCAAAAGAGAGCUUGAUUGCAAGACAUACAGGUCGAGCAAGGAUGAAAA
This 337-nucleotide ribosomal RNA is filed under the name Clostridioides difficile. RNAcentral describes it as "bacterial LSU rRNA". It matches the Rfam family "Bacterial large subunit ribosomal RNA", at positions 2070 to 2405 of the family's 2925-position model. The record is from RNAcentral. Lineage: Bacteria; Bacillati; Bacillota; Clostridia; Peptostreptococcales; Peptostreptococcaceae.